RNAcentral lists this ribosomal RNA (638 nucleotides) under Triticum aestivum (bread wheat). RNAcentral's name for it is "partial small subunit ribosomal RNA". Lineage: Eukaryota; Viridiplantae; Streptophyta; Magnoliopsida; Poales; Poaceae. The record is from RNAcentral.
AUUUUCUCUUGCCAGCUUCAGCUGCAGCAGCGUCUUGCCUGCGUCAUAUAUUUUGUAUUAUGUUUUUGUGGGCAUGGUUCUGAACUUUGGCAUCGAUGGAUAGAAUUUCGUCCAAACUAUAAUGUUGUUGUUCAAGUGUAGGAUAAUUCGUUUUGAUGUCUCUGUUGUGUGUGCGCGGGCAUGUGCCAAAGGCGUCUAAUAGAACCCAGGUGAAGGCGAAGGAGGUUUGGCUCUCAGGCAUGUGUAACACUCGAUGAUAACAACGUGCAGACUGAAAAUAUGGAUCCCAAGUUCAAAGCCAUAUCCAAUUAGUUUGUCUCUCAAAAAAAAAUACAACAAAUGCUAAAGGAUGAUUUACCCAUGGAGGCAUGGACCGAGAUUGCUUUAAUUUGGUCGUACGGAAGAUUAUGUUUGAUGACAUCCAAAUGGCACAAAAAACAAAACAAUUGAUAGACAAACAUUAUCUCGACAUGAAAUUUUGGACUUGCUUGCUGGUGGCUGGUGCCCUGCAGGGACCAGGUGGUGCCGUCGGCCGCGGCGCCGCCGCCACCGUCGUUGCAGCAGCUAGGCCGGGAGUAGCCGAGCAGGGGAGAAGCAUAAUUGUUUUCUAUAUUCUGCUCCUCCCACCGACCAGUUGA